AAUUCAUCACAUGAAUGUAUAAGGGAAUAAACCAGCUCCAGAUAAUUGCAGAGCACGAGACUGUGUUUGAUGGCAUCCUAAACUUGGCAAGAUUAAUUUUCCUGACAGCUCGUCUAAAAUGGAAAUGGGCUACGUAAUUAAAAGGAAUAAAACCCCCACAGAUGUGACACGGCCAGUCCUGCUCUGCUGGCGAAAAGGAAAACAAAGCUGGUGCUAAACGGCGCAGAGAUGAAUUCAUCGGAUAUUUUAGCCUGAGCUGUGAGAGGGAAGAUGGGCGCUGCAAGCACCUCCAGCUUCACGUGGUGCAGGUGGCUGAUACCAGAGAGCAACCAGCCGGGUCAGGGGGUGUAAUAACCAAGCUUCAGCUGCUUAGAGCAAAGGUCAAGGAAUUGCCUGGCUUUGUGCUGGGUGCUGGGAGCUGCACCAGGAUCGCGGGGACUUCUUUAAACUUCCUCUGUUACCCCAGGUUCACUGAGGACCUCUCUGGAAAAGAUCUAUCAAGGCAGAGGUGAUGCUGUGCCAAAGGAAGACACCAGCCCUGUUCCUGCCUCUCCGUGGAAAACAUCUUCCCAAUGCACCUUCAGUCUCCCCAUUGCUCGUGUGUGGUCUGAGGGAUAUGUGCACUCCCUUCCUUGUGUGGGAUAUUGAAACGAAUGCCAAAACUCUCUUCACAACUUCGCCUCUGCUCCCUGCAAGGAUUUCAUCGGUAUUCUCCUUCAAGCAAAAGCAGAGCCGGAGGUGCAUCGCCCUCUUCUUGUGCACCAGAGCCUCCAACCUAAAUCCCCGCUGUUUGUUUCUGAACUAGCCGACCUUUUAGCUAAGCUGGGCUCGUUUUAAUAUAUUUUGUAUGUGUGUGUCUGUGGCUUAAAAAGGAAAAGUAUCGUGGAAACCAACGGGAGCCUGAUCUCAAAUGUUACAGCAAGGCAUUUACUUAAAAUCUUGCAGGAAAAUGUCACCCAAAGACCUUGUCUAUUAAAACUUCCUGGACUUUGAGCUGAGGGUCCCACAGUGCCCAGGAUAUGAGGCCCACAGGUUGCCUCACUCCCUUUUAUGUUGACCCAAGUGUUUUUCUUCUUUGCUUUUCCUGUUGCAACUGGGGACCCCUAGGAAUUUUUCACAUUAACCCUAUUGCAGUCUGAUUUCUCCAGGUGGGAUUUUUCUGAAGGACACAGAAAGCAGCAGACAGAAAGCUCUGCGAGAAGCAGGUGCUAAAAGACAGCAUCAGCCCUUUCCCUUGCUGAGGUGCCAGGUCCCAGUCCUAAAUACCUGUUAGAGCAGGUUCCUGAGUCAAACAGUGCAGGGCUGAUUUAAGCCUUUCAAAGCAGAUCCCAGUGGAUUCACUGGGACAGGUAGUCCCUUCUUCAAACAUCUCUAGAAGCCAUGAGCAUGUAAGGUGGGUUAGGAAGGUAAAAUACUGGGCAUCACAAGGCUGUUUUAAGCAUGCUGCUCUUGAAAAAACAAGAAAGAGAGGGAGAAAGGGGUGAUAGCAAAAUUGACAUAUAUCAGCUUUGUUGAUGACAAUAUCGAAUGCAUCAUUACUGACAGGCAUGGGAGUGCAUCCUUUCUUUAUAUUGCAAAAUAAAGCAUUGCUAGUUUGGAUGAGCAAUAAAAGAUCCCCAACUGCUGCAUAUUAUUUAGUGUGUUUGGCUGAACUGAUUUCAGGAGAGUAUUUUAAAUCAAAGCAGUUGAUACAUGGGAUAUUUAUUGCUUCUGAUUUUUGUAGCAGAGGAACCUGCUGAGACUUCUCAGUGUGAGCACGGUGGUGUGUGGGUCGGCAAAAGGACAGACCAUACUCAGAACAGAGCAAUAAUCACACAUCCCAGCAUUGUGUCCCUGGGCAGAUUUAAAAGAAAAUAGGAAACUGGAAAACAGGACACACUGGGAUGUGUAUGAUGAUGUUGGCAAGAGAAUUACUUGGAAGAAGGGUCAGUCUCUGGGAAUGGACAGCUGGGAAAUGAGGUGUCCAGUUACCUUGUAUGGGUCUUAUCUUCUGCGUGCUGGAUGUUCGCAUUCAUCCCUCUACUUUGGCAAAGCUCCUUUAAAAUUAACAGAUGUACUGGCUGAUAGACCUUGUAAUAUUUGUCUCAGACAGAGCCAGAUAUGUCAUCUGGACAUACACAGGAGAUACCAACCGCUUUAGUGCAGAGAUAAAAGCAUAUUUUGAGUCCCCCGAGUUGUUACUGCAACAAGCUCAGACCAGAUUCCUUGUGGCAAUAAAUGCACUUUAUCUUCAUAUACAAUUUAAGUGCUCAACACGUGGGCAGACAUGCUCACACACUGCCACACUAGCUUUCCCUCCAAAAAUCCUGGUUUACCCCAGGAAAAAAUAUAAUUCAAAGAGAUAGAGUUUGAGUUUGCUGCAGCCAGGAGCCUCCACCACAGCCCUUGAGGCCUGAGCAUGGUGCUGGUAUCCAGAGGGCAAGUGGAUUCCUCUGGUUCCUCUGGUUCUCGCUUAUCAGAGAUGUCAUCCACUAUCACAGUCUUGAUUUUCUUGGGGGCAGCAUCUCCAUUUCCAAAAUAUCUGCUCCAUGGGGGCACAGUGUUCACCACUGCUUGCAGCCCCUGGCUCAGGCCCUGGCCCACAUGCUGUGCCGACAUUUUUCAGGAAAUGUGACCUUGUUUUCUAACACCCCACAAUAAUUGAAGGCAGAUGGCUAUUAUUAAGGAGCCUAAGGAAGGCUACGAGGAUGGUGAAGGGUCUAGAGGGCGAGGCAUGUGAGGAGUGGCUGAGGGCCCUGGGUUUGUUCAACCCAGAGCAGAGCAGGCCGAGGGGAGGCCCCAUGGCAGCCUGCAGCUUCCUUCUGAGGGGAUCAGAGGGGGAGGCCCUGAUCAUCCCAGGACUGGCUUCUGAAAAGUUCCCAGUGGAAAUUUUCCUGGGACACAUUAUACUGCUUUCAAGUCACUCUGUGCCACUUCAGCAGGCACAAAAAUUUGGCACUUUGUGCCUUCCAAAGCACACUGUGACCUGCUGUAAAUGUGUCUUAUUUGUGCUGUGCAAUCUGGCUCGUUCCUGCUAUUCUUCCCCGUAAGAGCCCACAUCCUCCCAUUUUUUUACAGCACGCUGGCUUUGCCUGAGUCUGGGCUCCUUCCGAGCCAGCCCUGGAGUCCCUCUCGCUGUGAGAGGAGGCAGGAGAGGAUGUUGGUGCUGGUCUGCAGCCUCCCUGAGCGAUGAGAAGGUCCCUCCCGGUUAUUACCAGGAAGAGGAAUGAGAGGCUGCAGGAGACAUUUAUUCCCUUAACUCCAUUCCUGCCAUUACAGGCGAUGGCAUCAUGCAGCUGCCUGGGCACAGAAAAGUCACGUUUCUGUCUUGCUGCUCUCUCUGGAGUGACACUGCUGCAGGACCUGAUGGGGAACACAAGCCUAAGAGGAAGGCUUUAUUCACGUAGUGAACUGCAAGGAACAUUUCUCUGUGGACCCACCUGGGGAUAUUUCACCCCUAAUGCACUUGCUGAGCUGUCCACAGAUCGAAGCAGAUCUGCAGGGACACCAGCUCACAGUCUCCCCGAAACACAACCUCACCCCUAAGCACAGCUCACGCUUUGCUGCUGCUUCUCUUCCUCCUCAUGGCCAGACUUACCUGGAUGAUUUCUCAGUUAGAAGAUCUUGGCCUAGAGACAGCACAAAUAUUUUAACCUGGUUGGGGUGGACAGAGGGUCCCUGCAGAGGGAUUUUCUUCAGUUAUGGCUUGAUGGAUGGUGCAGCCACCCCUAGGGAAAGCAUUCCCAGGGUUAGGUAGCAGCUCAGACCAUAAUGUAGAGUAACCCUGGGACUGCUCUAAGCUAAACUGAAUGAGAACAGCCAGAGGAGGCAGGCAGGAAGCUGAAAGAAAACAAAAACUGACAAACAAAUGGUCAGGAAGGUUAAUCAGUUCAGCCUGAAUUAGACAGGGAGCUCAUUCAGUGCCUUUCAGUGUGAUACUGGGGCUUGACUGUGGCUGCAUUCACUGCCUGAGAGUUUUUGAAAGUCUGAUCAGAGCUGUUUGGGGAACUACAGGUACAGAAACAGUCUGGAAAACAACUACAAUAACAAAACAGCUUAUAUGAAAUAAAACUUUGGUUGAUUUGACAAGGUGUUUACUGAGCACAGGAACUCUCUGGACAACAGCAAUUUUUCUUAACUUUCUCAUAAAUCACAAACAAACUGUUUUGGCUCCUAGGGCAAAUUUUGACAAAUCCUAAUAGAAAAGCAAACAGGUGAUUCUAUGAUAUCUUUGCCAAAAUUGAUCUAGCACUGCUAUAGCUAUGAAAUAAGGGAAGGUUUCUUUCAUGGAAGUCAAAGAAAAUGCAGUGCAAGAUUAUUCUUCCUGAAUAACUUUUAAAGAAGAUAAUCCACCUCUUGUGUUGAAAUAAGGACCCCUUCACUGGUGCAAAGAACUUUUAAAAGAACGGCUUAUUUCUAGCUCAGACUUCACAACAUCCAGAAGAGGAGCCUUAACCAGCCCUUGCAUGGUCCUGAAAAGCCACAGGGAUGGAUUCGGUGUAAUACAGUAUUCAGGUUUACUUUGGGAGAAAGGAAAGGAAAAUGCAUGCACCUAUUUUUCAUCUUAAAAUGUUCUUUAUUAACAACAGUUAGUUACUGGCCUUAUAUUCCUACAAACACAUGGAAAUAUGGACACCUUGUCAUACUGAGUGAGUUUUUAAGGGGAGCAUAGCAGGGCAAUACGGUUAUAACUGGGGAAAUUUUGAGAGGUUGUUACAGUGAGACAGCCUAUACAUGUACAAGCGAGCCAUAUUCCCAGUUCAUAUAUACAGGAAUUCAGGCUGCAUUGUUUCACUUUUGCUCACAAAGACCAUGUAUGGAUUUUGAAACCAAAAUCAGUUGUCUUUCAGUGCAGUACAAGACUUUCUGUCAGUGCCCAAAAUAGAAGAACUGCACACCCAGCUUUGAAUCCAGGGCUGAAUGCUGGAGGAAAAAGUCUAGAAAAUGAUUUGGGUGGAAGGGUGCAUUCAUACAAGAAAUUGCUAAAUAUCAGCAGAGCCAGACUAAUGACAGGGGAUGAGAAAUAGGUUAGAAAAAUUAGAUGGAGUCCUUCUUGCUCAGUAAUGACCAUUUCAUGAAAGAAAGUUGUAUUUCACUACGUGGUGAACACAGAGGUAAUAAUGAAGAUAACUGCCACAAAGUAGACGUGAGAUGAACUGGCAGAUAGUGGAACAGAGUUCAAUUAACAAAAAGAUUUCUUGAAAUGAUUUGAUUCUCCAGAAUUUGUUCUAAUUCUUCAGGCAAUCAAUCAAUCCUUCAGCAAGUUUUGCAGCCACCAGCCAGCUUGGUGUGGAUGUGUAGGGUGAUGGUGCAGAAACAGUUACAGCCUUUGCCUUUCCUGGAGCUACAUGGCCUUAGCCUUGGUGCAAGGAUGAAUGUUCCUCUGCCAGCAAGGAACUAGGAGGAAUGGAAUCUGCAAAAAUCAAAAAUUAAAAACCAAAAACCAAGCUGAACUCACAGUGGCAGAAUCUGUCCCCAGUUUUGCUUGUGCAUGUUAUAAUUUUGAAGUACAGAAGAAUACAGGCACCGCUUUCUUUCACCUUUACAAUUUAAUUUGUAAAGCAAAACCAAUGUUCUGAAAUACUUCCCUAAUGUUUGAGACAUAAAAUAGUAUGAGCCAUAUAAUAAAAUGUGAGGAUAUUGAACAUAACUGUCAGGAGUUACUUAGAAAGAUUUCUAGGAAUUCUUCAUCUGCUGUCUCUAAACAGCUUGUCUCCAGGGGUGUCUCAUUCAGGUGUCUUGCUAGAGAAACAGAGGCACUGGAGAUGUUUCAGUGGUGUAUCAUGACUGGGAGAGUAAAUUAAAUUCUGUGGGCCUCUGAAACAAGUGGCAAGUGAUCUGAAAAAGCAGCAAGUCAUACAAGCUUCUGUGGAGACUUGUAUUUUGAUGCUUUAGGAAGCUAUGUAUUUCCCAUUUGCUUGUAUCUAUACUUUGAUGGAGAUCUUCACUUAUCCAGAAUCCCCUUCAAGCAGCUUAGAAAUAUGCCAAUGCCCUCAGGCUGUCCGCUUUCUUUGAUAAGAAUGCAUAUGGGUUUUAUUAUGAACUCAAUAUACCAGUUAGAAUAAGAAACUGAUAGACUUGAGAAUAUGCUUGGAAAAGGGCAGACUCGAGGAAUAAAAUACAAACCUGUUGCAAUAUAAGGAGGCCACUUUUUUCCAUUCAUCUUUUAUUGGAAUAAAAGGGCAUUUGUAGAUAUUGAGUUAGCUGCAUGACAUGGCUCAGUUUAUACUCCAAGUAGUAUAAAAAGAAACAUUUUUCACAAAUACUUUCUUACUUCAAGUUUUAAAAUGGAUUAUGUUAAGAGACAAUUUAGCAUAUUUAAGCAAAACUAGUUUACAGCAGAUUUUUGACAGCAGAUAAAGGCAAAAGGUGUGCAAAUCCUGCUCUCACUAACCUGUUGUCCAUCCAUAAAACUAAAUUGCAGGGGUCCUGUCAUGGCAAGUCCUUUUCCUCCUGCUGCAGAUGAUGAGAACUAAGCCAAGAUACUUAGCACAUAACUCUGCUUUAGCCUCAGGAGUGGCAGCUCACAGCUUUAUCUUGUCCUUGUCUCACCUCAAAGAAUGCUCAAAGAAGAGAACAGAAGAUGAGGAGUCCAAGUAGCCCCUUUUUGCUCCAGGGAUGAAUCCUAUUCCUGUCUGUGGCUUCUGAAUUUAACCACAGAGUAUCUGCAAGAAAGCGAUGUUCCUAAUAUGCAAGAGGUGCAAUAGAAUCAUGCUCAUUUACUGAAGGGUUGAGUUUAUUAUUCUAGUGCUAAGAGUCAACUAGAGAUGUUAAAGGAAAAUUUCUCUAUAGGUUCUUAAUUUGCCUAAUUGCUGACUUCCUCACAAGUGCUCACAGAGGACUCAAGAGCGAGAAGCUAUUUUCACUCUUCAUUUAACUCUUCAAAGCCAUUAGCAACCGAGAAGUUGUGAUUAGUGCUGCAAGUUCUUCUGUAAAAUGGUUACCCAAUGAAUCACACUUCACUGAUGAGCUCUGCUCAGCCUCCCACCAGCCUCACCGUGUGAUAGCCUACUAUUAGUACUCCUCUGGGGACUGCUUAUAGAGCAGGAACAACCCUUUUCUCCCUCUCCUAUCUGAGACGAAUCUGCUCUGCUCUGCUCCAUGGCAAACAGUGGCUGCUGAUGGAGUUUGAGUUUUCAUGGAGGGUGGAUGGAAACACAGCCCUAAUGGGCAACUUGUCCCCACUGUAUCCUGGAUUUGUGGUGGGUUGAACCCCAUGCUACCUCCCUGGCCAUACAGACCCACUCCAGAUAUCAGGAUUUUCUGAUUUUUGCCACCUCCCAGAUGACUCUGGGAGCUAAUCAACAACACCACCAACAUGUUUCAACCUUCCCAUGCCACCACCUAAAUCAAAAUGAGCCAAGAAAUGUCAGGGCUAAAAUCCAUACCCUCCCUAUAACUCAAUGCACAUUCAUAUCUUGGUAUCUUGAACUAAUUAUUAACAGCUUGUGUUUAUGUGGUUAUUUAUUUAUUUAUUUAUUCUUUUUUUGCCAACCUAGAAAAUAACAGCAGAUCUUCAUGCUUGGUUUUGGCUUUGAACUUGGUUUGGCCAGCGAACACCUCAAACACAGUCUCCCUUGAAAUGGCCUGGUUUCAGCAGCUCCUGGGUUUGCUGGCAGCGCUGCAGUGAUGUUUGGUCCUUUAUGGCUUAAAUGGUGUUAAGUGAUUUUAUGAUGGUUUUCCUGUGGCUCAGACAGCAGCCUUCAUUCUGGAGUGUAAUCGCUACCCUGGCACAAAUGAGUGAAGGAAAUUUUGUGCGAUCAAAUGCAAAGAAAUGCUCUUGCAUUGGAAUAAAGCACAGAGAGAGCUAACAGCUCAGUUUGCAAUAAAACUCCAGGUAACCUGCUAUUACUGCUCCGAGCUGCUGUUGUCGGAGCUGGGCUCAGCACCAGCAGUGCAAUAAGGCAUGUAAUUACCUGUCUCUGUGCCCGUUCUUUGGGUACAGCCCCCUAUCUGCAGCUGAUCCAAACAGCACAUCCAGCUUGCAUUGCACACAUCGCCUCAUUAUUUCAUAGAUAUAAUUGAACCCUUUUGUACACGAGCUUAGGCUUAGUUCAGCAAGUUGAAAACACAAUAUGCAUAAUGGAUUUAAAUAGUGUAGAUAAUAUGGGGUGGACUGGAUGUGUGAACUUGGGUUCAUGGGAGAAACCAUAAGCUUAACUUUCUUUCCCCAUUUCUGCCCACUGAAGAUUUUCUUCUGCAGAAAGAAGAUACAUAUCCCUAUAUUUUUAAUCUAUUCUGAGUGUGAGAUGGGAGGAAGUUAAAUGUUAACAAUUUAAAUUAACAACUUCUGCUUUUCAGACAAGAACUCUCUCCCCUGAGAUGCUCUUUAGUAGGUGUGUUCAGCAGGACCACCGUCAGACUCAGCAAUGCUGACUGCUAGACACAAACUCGGGGCUGCAGCCCAAAGCAGGGUAGCUCACGGGUUUUGUUUUGGGGUGCCAGCUCUGCCUGUGCUGAGUUGAUGUGUAUGUGUUCCCAGAAGCAAGUGUUCUCCAAGGCAGCAAGUUUUCUGAAGUACUUUGCUGUAAUUACAUGCUUCCUUUAAAUUAAAUGCUUGAAUAAUUCCAGAAAUUGGCCUGAAUUAUAAAAUACUUCACCUAAAACUACAAUUUUCUAGGAAACAGGGAGAAAAAAAAGAGCUCAAGGAAGAGCAACUAGUUUGAGCAUAGAGAGUGUUGGGAGAAAAGAGUUAAUAGUGAAUAUUUAUUACCAAUAACUUCAGUUUGUGUCAUUCUGACAGAAGGGAGAAUUUUGAAAAUAAAAUCCAUGAACCAACUGUGAUAAAUACUAAGUUUGCAUUUAUGUUCUCCUUUACCUUAUCAAUGCAAAUAUUUAAACUUGCUAAAGAAGAUUAAGUGAUGCCCCUAAAGUGCCCCAAAGCAUCAAAAGGAUGGUAUGUCUUAGGAACACAAGUCCCAUUUAAUGUCUGUAGCAAAUAUAGUGCCUCUGGUACAAUCAAGAAUUAAAGCAUAGAAGGAAAAGGAGUUGUUGGGAACAGAUCUGAUGCCAGAGCCUUUGGCAAGUAUAACUCUUUGGUCAAUGGUGUAUUUCACUGACAGAUGGAGCAGAGCCCAUCCUGGAGCACACCUUCUCUCUUUGUAAGCGUUAGCUGAAGGCUGACUUAGCCACCACUUCCCUGUUACUCAGAGUUUUAGCAUGUGCUGUCAAAUUUGAUUGAAGUUGGUGAACAUACUUGGCUGUUACACAUGUAUACACAGCUUACUAAGCUUCACAUCCAACCUAAAAAGCAAGGCAUUUUUAAGCAGCAGACUUGAAAUGGGAUCCAUACAAUCUUCUCACAUUUGCUCUGGAAGUUGGAACAAAAAAGAGGCUCUGCAGGAACCUCAGGAAGGAUUGCACCUGACUGAUAUAUCUGACCAAGGAAGGAGCUGAUUGCUGGAACAACUCCUUGGCCACAUGUAGAAUUUAUUGUAUUGUAUUGUAUUGUAUUGUAUUGUAUUGUAUUGUAUUAUAUUGUAUUGUAUUAUAUUGCAUUGUAUUGUAUUGUUUUGGUUUUGUUUUGUUUUGUUUAUUUUUGCUUUGGGAAUAAAGAAAAAGCCUGGAAAUCUUCAGGCAUGAGCAAGCAAGACUUGCAAUGAGGAGAUACAGACCCAGCCAUGGAUGCAUAGAUCUGAUGUAAAUUAAAACAGAGGUGGAAAGCCAAAAUGUUUUUCUUUAACAUGAGAAUGACAUAUUACAUCACCAUUUCUGUGUGGUUUGGCCUUUUGUUUUUUAAUCAUUGCUCUCCGAAUAACGUCUGAACCAAUGAUUCAUUGAAAUAAACUCUCCCUUAGUGCAUCUCAGAUGUGCACCCACAAAGUUGGGAAGAAAAAUGACACUUCCACAUCCACAGGUCACUGAAAAUUACUGCUGACGCCCAGGAACAUGCAGAUAAUGCAGCUGGUCCCCCUGUUUAGAUGCGUCUGAUGAUAUUGGAUCUUUUUUUUAAUAAAAUCGAUGCACAGUAGCAUGACAGAAUCAUGAAAUUGUCCAUGUUACAAAGGCAGGAACAAUUGGUAGGAAGGAAAAAAAGAUCUGCACAACAGAUGGCGUGUCUCUGCUUCCAUUCGUAAAUGAGUAAAAAUACCCCCAGGCUCACAAAAUCUCUUGCUUUGCUGCCGACUGACACUUAUUUGAAGCUAACAUGAAGAUUUGGUAAUCGGCCUUGAAGAGGAGAACAGAGGGAAUGGCUGAGUGAGCGAAGGGGACAGGCUGCCAGCACCUGCACAGCACCAAUUCCUCCUCCGGCCUGGACCUGAGGCGCAGGCAGGGCUGGAUCCAGAGCCCAGGAGAAUGGCUCGGGGUUG
Molecule: non-coding RNA, 10289 nt
Organism: Anas platyrhynchos (mallard)
Lineage: Eukaryota; Metazoa; Chordata; Aves; Anseriformes; Anatidae
Source: RefSeq, a predicted model, not a curated record